Non-coding RNA from Paramuricea clavata, 312 nucleotides. The record is from the annotation of a GenBank genome assembly. NCBI's taxonomy places the organism in Eukaryota, Metazoa, Cnidaria, Anthozoa, Malacalcyonacea, Plexauridae.
CGAGGUAGGAUAACCACGCUGGACAAAAAAGUGUCUCAUUUCCAAACUUUUGGCCUGAAAACUUCGUCUUCACUGCAGAUGCGGCGAAGACGAAGGAACUGAGAGAAGGGCAUCGACCUUUUGGUGUGGUUGGGGUGGGAAGAGGAAAAUAGAAGGGAGUAUUAGUGUCACUUUUUUUUGGGACACCCUGUAUUAGAAAAAGGAGACCUUUAGAAAUUGAAAUAACGUUUAAACAAAAGAUUGUCUGCUCCUGGGAACAAUCUGCCAUGCAUACUGUACGUAGAUCGCAUGUUACGCACUCGUGGGCUUAGC